Molecule: ribosomal RNA, 438 nt
Filed under: Lacticaseibacillus paracasei
Lineage: Bacteria; Bacillati; Bacillota; Bacilli; Lactobacillales; Lactobacillaceae
Description: bacterial SSU rRNA
Rfam family: Bacterial small subunit ribosomal RNA
Source: RNAcentral
UCCUACGGGGGAGCAGCAGUAGGGAAUCUUCCACAAUGGACGCAAGUCUGAUGGAGCAACGCCGCGUGAGUGAAGAAGGCUUUCGGGUCGUAAAACUCUGUUGUUGGAGAAGAAUGGUCGGCAGAGUAACUGUCGUCGGCGUGACGGUAUCCAACCAGAAAGCCACGGCUAACUACGUGCCAGCAGCCGCGGUAAUACGUAGGUGGCAAGCGUUAUCCGGAUUUAUUGGGCGUAAAGCGAGCGCAGGCGGUUUUUUAAGUCUGAUGUGAAAGCCCUCGGCUUAACCGAGGAAGCGCAUCGGAAACUGGGAAACUUGAGUGCAGAAGAGGACAGUGGAACUCCAUGUGUAGCGGUGAAAUGCGUAGAUAUAUGGAAGAACACCAGUGGCGAAGGCGGCUGUCUGGUCUGUAACUGACGCUGAGCUCGAAAGCAUAACAC